UGUUGGAUGUAAUGCAGAAUCACAAACGGAUAUGGGUUCGUCGUCGUCUAAUGAUUUUAACUAUGUUCCUCAAGUAAGGGUUGAACUAGUUCCGAAAAUUGAGCAAGAGUUUGAUUCAUUAGUUGAAGCUCAUAAUUUUUACGAUGAAUAUGCACGGGCUGCUAGGUUUAGUAUUCGAAUGUGGAGUACUAAAAAAACACGAGCAAUGAAAUUAUCCACUUAUUAAAAAUAGGUAAGCUGAUAUUAUUCAGUUAUUAGAGAAAUUGUCCACUUAUUGUUCACUUAUUAGAAAUUAUUACUAUUUAAUUUAUGCUGCUUUUUUUCUCACGCAGGAGUGAUACGGCAUGAUCUUGGGGAAUGAUUCAACUACAAGAACCUAUUUUAGCUGACAUUUUUUUUGAGCUGCACUUAAACUGGAAAACUUGGAGUUGUUGGAGCUAUAGCAAAGUGAAAAAAUGGGAUUUGUUGGAUCUGUAGCAAAGUGAGAAAUUGGGAUUUGUUGGAGCUGCAACAAAGUGCAAAACUGGGAUUUGUUGGGCUGCAGCAAAGUGCAAAAACUGGGAUUUGUUGGAGCUGCACUCAUUCUUUCAAACUGAGAUUUGUUGGAGUUGCACUCAUUCUGGAAAAUUGAUUCUUACUAUGUAAUGUUGACAUGGUUAUUGAUGUAUUGUUGACAGGGUUGUUGAACUAUUUUGAAAGAUAAUUAUAAUUCAACAAAGUCAAUUUGCUUAG
Long non-coding RNA from Tripterygium wilfordii, 732 nucleotides. RefSeq lists it as uncharacterized. The transcript has 2 exons. NCBI's taxonomy places the organism in Eukaryota, Viridiplantae, Streptophyta, Magnoliopsida, Celastrales, Celastraceae. The record is from RefSeq and is a predicted model, not a curated record.